GUAGGUGGCAAGCGUUGUCCGGAAUUAUUGGGCGUAAAGCGCGCGCAGGCGGUUCUUUAAGUCUGAUGUGAAAGCCCACGGCUCAACCGUGGAGGGUCAUUGGAAACUGGAGAACUUGAGUACAGAAGAGGAAAGCGGAAUUCCACGUGUAGCGGCGAAAUGCGUAGAGAUGUGGAGGAACACCAGUGGCGAAGGCGGCUUUCUGGUCUGUAACUGACGCUGAGGCGCGAAAGCGUGGGGAGCAAACAGGGAUUAGAUACCCUGGUAGUCCACGCCGUAAACGAUGAGUGCUAAGUGUUAGGGGGUUUCCGCCCCCUUAGUGCUGCAGCUAACGCGUUAAGCACUCCGCCUGGGGGAGUACGGCCGCAAGGCUG
This 374-nucleotide ribosomal RNA is filed under the name uncultured organism. RNAcentral's name for it is "partial 16S ribosomal RNA". It matches the Rfam family "Bacterial small subunit ribosomal RNA", at positions 527 to 896 of the family's 1533-position model. The record is from RNAcentral.